GGUACUUGUACCGACUGGAUGAGCAGCGAACGGGUGAGUAACGCGUGGGGAAUCUGCCUUUGAGCGGGGGACAACAUUUGGAAACGAAUGCUAAUACCGCAUAAAAACUUUAAACACAAGUUUUAAGUUUGAAAGAUGCAAUUGCAUCACUCAAAGAUGAUCCCGCGUUGUAUUAGCUAGUUGGUGAGGUAAAGGCUCACCAAGGCGAUGAUACAUAGCCGACCUGAGAGGGUGAUCGGCCACAUUGGGACUGAGACACGGCCCAAACUCCUACGGGAGGCAGCAGUAGGGAAUCUUCGGCAAUGGACGAAAGUCUGACCGAGCAACGCCGCGUGAGUGAAGAAGGUUUUCGGAUCGUAAAACUCUGUUGGUAGAGAAGAACGUUGGUGAGAGUGGAAAGCUCAUCAAGUGACGGUAACUACCCAGAAAGGGACGGCUAACUACGUGCCACCAGCCGCGGUAAUACGUAAGUCCCGAGCGUUGUCCGGAUUUAUUGGGCGUAAAGCGAGCGCAUGUGGUUUAUUAAGUCUGGUGUAAAAGGCAGUGGCUCAACCAUUGUAUGCAUUGGAAACUGGUAGACUUGAGUGCAGGAGAGGAAAAUGGAAUUCCAUG
RNAcentral lists this ribosomal RNA (612 nucleotides) under Lactococcus lactis. Its description in RNAcentral is "bacterial SSU rRNA". It matches the Rfam family "Bacterial small subunit ribosomal RNA", at positions 75 to 673 of the family's 1533-position model. The record is from RNAcentral. Lineage: Bacteria; Bacillati; Bacillota; Bacilli; Lactobacillales; Streptococcaceae.